Onychostoma macrolepis is the source of this 1039-nucleotide long non-coding RNA. RefSeq lists it as uncharacterized. The record is from RefSeq and is a predicted model, not a curated record. NCBI's taxonomy places the organism in Eukaryota, Metazoa, Chordata, Actinopteri, Cypriniformes, Cyprinidae. The transcript is spliced from 3 exons.
UAUUUGACCGGAACGAUAAAAAUGACGGUUAUUUUCGUCUGUAUUACUAUUCAACUGUAUGUUACUAUGGUUACCAAUCUUUAUAGGAAGCGCAUUAAUAUAGAACGUGAUUCAACUGACCUGGAACUACCUGUGCAGUUCAACACCUGCCAGCCAAUCAGAAUCCAGUAUUCAGACAGACCAUGGCAUAAAGCGGCAUGUUCUUAUUUUUAUCAGCUUCUGCAAGCGUGUAUGGCGUCUGGCUUCAGAACCUCACUGUGACUUCAGAUAAGAACAAAGAUUAAAUUGUAAGAAGGGUUGCUUAUAAAAGCAUACAGUACAUCUGAAACUGCUGAGACUGGUAAGGUUUUUGACUAUAUUUCCGACCAGGUACAUUGUUCUGUCAUUCUUAAAUAGAAAACAAAUCAUCAAUCAUCAUUUGCCUUUUUUGUGUGUGUGCGUGUAAGAAAUAUUAACAUUUGUUGUUUUUCAGAUCAGCUGCUAUAGAAGACAAAAUGAAAUCUGAGUGCAGAGACAUGCAAAGGAAUACUGCAAGGCACUACUGACUAGGCUGUGCCCAGGUCUCCGGAACCUGCGACGACGCUCAGCUCCGUUGGCCCUUAGUCUGCGGCUUCGGAUCCACCAGCUCUGUCUCCAUCGGUCGGCCCCCAGAUGUUGGCAGCCACACCAUCUACAUCUUGGCUCCUCCCUCCCUCGACUCCGCCGUGUGUUGUCAGCACUGGGAUGCUCUGGGUCUGUGCCAUGUGCCAAACACCAUCUAAGCCGCAUCUCAUCCUCCCAUCACCAUCCCUUCACCACAUCCUGCCAUCAUCCCGCACCUUUGCCUCUCACCAUCCCUACAUCAUCUCCUCGUCCACCUCCAAAACUCCUCUAUCCAUCCCUAUUCUGUUGCUUGAACUUUAUCAUCUUCAGUCUUUGCACACACAUCUAUUCACUUUACAUGUUUUUUUUUCUUCAGAAAAUUGCAUUGUAAUUUUUAUUUAUUCAUUGAUGUAAAAUUCUUUACUUUUCAGUAAUACAGGUAUAACUGAAAUGUUCU